CGGACAAACACCGCUGGGACUUCUACGUUCGCUUCUCCGGAGCGAGCCCCGCCCCUCUUCUCCUGCACCGCCCUCCCUUCAGACGGCGAGGAUCCCGGAUGUUACCUCCUCCGGCGCUCUGUAUCUCCGCCCUUUCUCCUCAGGUUCCCGCCCCUUUCGAACGCACAGCUGGUUCCCGCGAGGCCCAGAGUUUCGAUGUCUCCUGGGUGGCUAGAGCGUCUUCUUGCGCUGGGUCGCGCUGCAGGUGACGGCGCCCGGAGGCUGUCGGGAAGUAGGCGGGGUGACGUGUGGUUGACGAGCUCGGCGGCGGGUUUGCUGAGAUCUGUGGCCGGCGGCAGCUGGUGCGGGGGGCUGCCGAGAACGCGAGGUGGAGCGGGGCGGUGUGUGGCCAGGGCCAUGACGGGCAAUGCCGGGGAGUGGUGCCUCAUGGAAAGCGACCCCGGGGUCUUCACCGAGCUCAUUAAAGGAUUCGGUUGCCGAGGAGCCCAAGUAGAAGAAAUAUGGAGUUUAGAGCCUGAAAAUUUUGAAAAAUUAAAGCCAGUUCAUGGCUUAAUUUUUCUUUUCAAGUGGCAGCCAGGAGAAGAACCAGCAGGCUCUGUUGUUCAGGAUUCCAGACUUGACACAAUAUUUUUUGCAAAGCAGGUAAUUAACAAUGCAUGUGCCACUCAAGCCAUUGUAAGUGUGUUAUUGAACUGUACCCAUCAAGAUGUUCAUUUAGGAGAGACAUUAUCAGAGUUUAAAGAAUUUUCACAAAGUUUUGAUGCAGCUAUGAAGGGUUUGGCACUGAGCAAUUCAGAUGUGAUUCGACAAGUACACAACAGUUUUGCCAGACAGCAAAUGUUUGAAUUUGAUGCAAAAACAUCAGCCAAAGAAGAAGAUGCUUUUCACUUUGUCAGUUAUGUUCCUGUUAAUGGAAGACUGUAUGAAUUAGAUGGAUUAAGAGAAGGACCAAUUGAUUUAGGUGCUUGCAAUCAAGAUGACUGGAUCAGCGCAGUACGGCCAGUCAUAGAAAAAAGAAUACAAAAGUACAGUGAAGGUGAAAUUCGAUUUAACUUAAUGGCUAUUGUGUCGGACAGAAAAAUGAUUUAUGAACAGAAGAUAGCAGAGUUACAAAGACAACUUGCAGAGGAGGAACCUAUGGAUACAGAUCAGGGUAGUAAUAUGUUAAGUGCUAUUCAAUCAGAAGUUGCCAAAAAUCAGAUGCUUAUUGAAGAAGAAGUACAAAAGUUAAAAAGAUACAAGAUUGAAAAUAUCAGAAGGAAGCAUAAUUAUCUGCCUUUUAUUAUGGAAUUGUUAAAGACUUUAGCAGAACACCAGCAGUUAAUACCUCUUGUAGAAAAGAUGUUCUGAUAAAGGGGAAGGAUUCUUUAAUAAGUUCCCCAAGUGAUUCUAAUGCAACUGAUCUGUGUACCACAUUUUGAGAAAUACUGAGAAGAUACUACUAGGCAAAUAAAAUUUUGGACCAUUAAUAUAAAGACCAGAUUACGUGGCAAAAGAAAAACAGAAUGCAAAGAAAGCUCAGGAAACCAAAUGAAGAGGAUGCUUUGGGAUGUGUACACAUUUCUGCUUCUACACUUAUUUUCAUGGCACCAUUAAGUAUAAGGAACUUUGAGCAACAUCCUAAUUGACUGAAUGCACGUUUGGCAAUAGUACCAGUCUGUCUUGUCUUUAAUGCAUGGAUUAAUAAACUUUUCCCCUACCUGCAUCAUGUGCAUGCAGUGCAUAUUAAAUAAAAAUAAUACUGAGAGUGCUUGCCCAAAUUCCGUUUUUUUGACAUUGGAUCUGAGAACUCUUAUUGGUAUUCUGGAUUUAUAACUACAGUAUGAACCUAGAAAAUGCACAAAUGAUAUUCUUUACCUGUAAUGUUCUGAUUAAUCUUUUGAUUUUUUUUAGCUUAAAAUUUUUUGAUUUUUAAAUGUUAAAUCUUAACUAAAUCUUCUGUUUCUUCUUAUCAUUAAUGGAAAAAAUCAAUAUUUCUGUCUUUGACAUGUGUUUUGAGAAUCUUAAAACUAAAAAUUUCCUCUUAUACCACUUAUUUGAUUUUAAUGCAGAUCAUUUGAAAAGAGCAAAAGUAAAAUUUUUAGUGAUUUUCAUUGUUGCCAAUAGAAAAGGUAAUAAGCAUUGCAAUUUUAUUUUAACAAACUUUCUUCAAGUGUUUGGGGUUAUUUUUUAAACCAUAGAUUUAUUGUAGGAAGAUCUGAAUAUUAUGCCUCAAAACAAAAUUUCAAGUUAAGAACAAAUUGUAAUUCUUAAAGAGUUUUGGUAUUAUUACCAAUUUGGCAACCUUGUCAAGUUGUUAAGGUGAGUUUUUAUGGAAAAUUUGAGGUUUGACAAUUCAGGUUAUCUGCUUUAAAAAAAGAUGACAGUGGUGAUAGAGGAUCCUCUGUGCCAAUUUGAAUAAAAUUAGUAUAGCUCAGUUUCCAAGAGCCAUGUAAUGUACAAUUUGCUCACAAAGAUUUUUUUUUAGUGGGGGGAGUUGUUUUCAUUUUUAUUUUAUAAAGUACUACUGAACUAUAUUCUUGCUUGUAAUUUUCUUUUCCAAGUAAACUCUAAAUGAAAUUUUAUAAAACUUCUUUUUAUAAAGGAAAUAACCCACUUUUUUCUUUACCAAGCACAUUUUUGAAAUUGAUAUGUGAGUUUUUAACAUUUUAUUAUUUAUUGUAAAAUAAAUUUAACAUAAUUUAUUUUAUUAGGUGGAAUGUGUACCUAUCAUCCAGCUUCAACACAUGAAUUUUUUAUGAUUGUUUUAAAGCUUACUAAUUGUGGUAUUAUUAAAUGACUUAGAAUUAAUGCAGGGGAGACCUGUGGUAAAAUUGAGUAGAAAAAUUAAUGAAAUAUUUUUCAUAUAUAAUUUCAGUUGAAAGUACUAAAAAUAUUUAGUUUUUCAGUUAUUUGUGAGUAAAUAUAUUUUGCUCUUGAUAUGGUAGUAAUUAUGGAGUGUUUCAAAACUGUGAUACAAUUUUAAAAAAUGGUUUUCUAAGGAUGUUCUUAGGCUCAUCUCAAUCUCAUUCAUUUAUUUCAAUUUAAUUUCUAUAUUUUCUUUUAUUGAGGCUUAAAUUUUGUAAAGCAAUGCCAGGAUUAUUGUAAAAAGUAGUAUCAGUAAUCAGAUAAAUCAAUGGAAUAAAAGACAGGACCUAAAAACAUUAAUUUUUAACUGAUCACUUGAUUUUUACAAAGGUGUCAAAUAAUCAAACAGGAAAGGAGAGUCUUCAACAAAUGUAGGUAGGAUAGUAGAGCUGAAUAUCCACUGAGGAAAAAAGGAAUCAAGAGUUCCCUAUCUCACAAAAAAUUAUUUGAGUUGAAUCAUAGAUGUUUUUGUAAUAGCUAAAAAAUAUAAGUCUUUUUUUCCCAGAAAACAUUGGUGAAUAUCUUUGUGACUUGAGAGUAGCCAAAGGUUUCUCGGGUCAUAGAACACAUUAACCAUAAAAGAUCCAGGAUUAGGUUUCAUCAAAAUUAAAAACUUGUCAUUGAAAGACACCUUUAGCAAGAGUAGCUUGCAUAGAAUGACAUCUUUAAAAGAGCUUUAUAAAUUUAGGUUAUAGGUAUAAGGAUUUCUUAAAAAUUUAAUUUCUUAUAAAAGUCCAUGAUAGGAUUUCCAUAGUUUAGGAAUGGUUUAUCUGCUGCUUCUUUAAUGAUUGCAAAUGCAUUGUGAUACUUCAUGUUUUUUUUUUUUCUGCUUGUGAAUAAAGAAGUAUGACUUGUC
RNA transcript from Marmota monax (woodchuck), 3703 nucleotides. It is a transcript of the gene named ubiquitin C-terminal hydrolase L5, with no coding region annotated. The record is from RefSeq and is a predicted model, not a curated record. The transcript is spliced from 12 exons. NCBI's taxonomy places the organism in Eukaryota, Metazoa, Chordata, Mammalia, Rodentia, Sciuridae.